Long non-coding RNA from Daphnia carinata, 345 nucleotides. RefSeq lists it as uncharacterized. NCBI's taxonomy places the organism in Eukaryota, Metazoa, Arthropoda, Branchiopoda, Diplostraca, Daphniidae. The record is from RefSeq and is a predicted model, not a curated record. The transcript has 3 exons.
AGGAACUGUUUGAGUGAGUGAUGUGAUAACACAUCAAAAACGUAAUUGGGAGGCAAAGGUGAGAUAGGAAAACCUUCAGCAUAAGUUAAAGUAGCUUGGAUGGUCCAGGUUCAGUAGUACUAGGUUGCUCAUCGGAAGGAAACAAUGAUGAAAGGACUAGAGAAUGUUGACCAGAUAUCUAUGGGUGGAGAUCUACUUGAUAGAGCUUAUUUUGGUGAAGAUUCCUCUGACGUUAGAAAAAACAUCAAUAACUAUUUGAAAAUCAGGUACUCAACAUAAAAUGGUACAAGCUUUAUUAUAAACCUUUUCACAAAAUAUUUAGAUAUGUUUUGUGUCAGAAACUGU